Long non-coding RNA from Rhincodon typus (whale shark), 2353 nucleotides. RefSeq lists it as uncharacterized. The transcript has 4 exons. The record is from RefSeq and is a predicted model, not a curated record. NCBI's taxonomy places the organism in Eukaryota, Metazoa, Chordata, Chondrichthyes, Orectolobiformes, Rhincodontidae.
CAGGUCACGAUCGCGGCCGCGCAAACAAAGGGAAAGUGCGUCAUCAUUAUGUGAUCAGAACUGGAAGGUAUUGCUAGGAGCAGAAUUAAAGUUAGGAGACAGUGAGAGAAAACUGGGAGCGAAGGAAAGUAAUGUUGGAGAAGGGCUUAUAUUCUAGAUGAGAGUUGAGCUAGAUUAUGUGGAAUUGGCAUUUACAGCUUUGGAAGAAACUGAGAAGUCAUGAUUUCCAUAGAAACUGAAAUUGUCUGUUCUGGAUUUCUGUCCUGUACUGGCGUCAAUGACUUCUGUAAAUUCGUUUUACAGAGGAUUAGAAGGAAGGAUUAAUGAGUGUGAGACUCAAACCAAGCAUCACAUCAGGAGCUGAUCGAGUCAUUCGGUUCAUCGGAACCUGAAUAUCAUCAGUCUUUGAAUGUGAAAAGAGAAAUGUUUUGUCUGUGGUAAAAUAUUUCAAACAUCAGUGUGACUGGAACAGCAUUGGUACAUACUCCUGAAUGAGUGUAUGCCAAUGAACUGAAUGAGCUUGAAACAACUGUGCAGCCUGAAAUAAAUUGCCCAGUUUGUAGUGAGGAGAGACUGUACAUAUGUUGUGUGUAGAGACAAUUGAUUAUUCCAACCUGGAGAGUCACAGAUGAUGGAGAAACUAUGCAAAUGUGAAAAGCGUAGGAAGGGAUUCGAUUACCUUUCUGAAUUGGAUAUUCAUCAAUCCAGACAUACUAGAGAGAAGCCAUUCAGCUGUACUCAAUGUGGAAAAAAGGUUUGCUCAUCCAGCCUCUAUACGCACCAGACAAUACACACUUUCAAGAGGCAAUUCACUAAUAUUGAUUGCUGGGAACAAUUUGAUACUUCCAUCAAAUCUCCUGAUUGUUCAGGUUCAUUCGGACCUGAAUCCUUUGAAAUGUUCCCACUGUGAGAAACGCUUUAAAAGCAAACAGGAGCUGCUCAGGCACCAAUACAUUCACACGGUGGUGAGACUUCCGCUAGCUCCAUUUUUGAAAACGGAUUCACUUUGUCAUCCACCUUUUGACACACCACUUGUUCACACAGUUAAGAGACCUUUUGCGUGUUCUGACUCUUGGAAAUGUCUUGAUUUAUUCCUGGUUUUGAACAUCCACAUGAACAGUCCGAAUCCCAUGCGCCAUGUCCUGUUCCCAAACACAGCAUCUGAUUCCAUCCGGUGUGUGAUACAGGAGCGUCUCAGUGUCAGGGGAGACGGAAGAUGAUGUGGUGAAAUACGAUUCACUUGUUGGAAGAAUGGAAAACACAGAGUGUUCCAGUUUGAAAUGGUUGAUUUGCAAAUGAAACUACAUCCAGAUCUGACAAUUGCUCUGUUUGUAAUAACCUAAUCAGGAUUUUGAACAUUGAAGGAAAAAGCACCGUUCACAAUGGGGAGAAACACAUAUCAUCUGUGUGGAAGAGUGUGAAGAUUCAUCUGAAAUGUCCAAACGCCAGUACAGUCACACUGGGAAAAGACUAUGGGAAUGUGGGGGUGGUGGGAAGGGAUUUCUUUACCCAUCUCAGCUGGAAAUGCACCAAUGCAGUCACACUGGGGAGAAGCCAUUCACCUGCCCUCAUUGUGGGAUGAGAUUCACUCUGUCGUCCCACCUGCAGAUACACCAGCGAGUUCACACAGGGGAGAGACCAUUCACCUGCUUCCUGUGUGAGAUUCAGUCAGUCAUCCAAACUGCUUAUACACCAGCAAGUUCACACUGGCAAGAAACCAUUCACUUGCUCCCAGUGUGGGAAAGGAUUCAGUCAGUCAUUCAGCCUGUGGAUACACCAAUGCAGUCACACUAGGGAGAGACCAUUCGCUGGGGAAAAAUAUUCACUCAUUCAACUCACCUGCUGAUACAUCAGUGUGUUCACUCUGGGGAGAGACCAUUUACUUGUUCCGUAUGUGGGAAGGGAUUCACUCUGUCAUCCAAACUGUUAACUCACCAGUGAAAUGAGACUGGGUGGAUCCUGUUCACCUGCUCUGUUGUGUAAAAUGAUUUGCUGUUUGCAAACACAACAGCAAAUUCUCAAAAAACUACAGGUGAAAGAUUUUGCUUUUACUUACACCUAGGAAUGAACCUUGGUCAUUGGGCCAUCUGUAUUGAUAUUAUUAAACCCUGCUCCAUUAAAGGUCCUGCUAUUGUUGGUAAAAUGUUGAUACGAUUGUAUAUCUGUAUGAUAAGUUUUGAAAUGAUCACAAUUUCACUGUACAUCAACACAUUUAAAUUGGGUAAAGACUGUCCACCUGCAAGUUGAUUGCAAAGUGAUUUUGUGGUUCAUCAGGGCUGUUUAAACAGUGGUGAGCUCCCUAGUAACUCCGUGUUGGAUUUUGAUGUUGUUUUUGUCUAUAUGCAAACCCAUU